ACCUGUUGCGGUGAUAUAAAGUGAAUAUGGCUGUCAAUUCCCCCUGCAGUAACAAUAAGUCCUUCCCCUGCAAUUGCUUCUGUAGAUGCACCAACUACUAAAUUGUCAUUCACUCCAUCCAUUAUAUCCGGAUUUCCUGCUUUUCCUAUUCCAACAAUUUUUCCAUCCUUAACUCCAAUAUCAGCUUUUACAAUACCCCAGUAGUCUAUAAUCAGGGCAUUGGUUAUUACCAAAUCCAGUACACCCUGUACUCUUUUUGCACCAGCAGAUUGUCCCAUACCAUCUCU
This 287-nucleotide small RNA is filed under the name Clostridium tyrobutyricum. Its description in RNAcentral is "5' ureB small RNA". It matches the Rfam family "5' ureB small RNA". The record is from RNAcentral. Lineage: Bacteria; Bacillati; Bacillota; Clostridia; Eubacteriales; Clostridiaceae.